GACGAACGCUGGCGGCGUGCUUAACACAUGCAAGUCGAGCGGACAGGCCCUGCUUUUGUGGGGUUCUCGAGUGGCGCACGGGUGAGUAACACGUGAGUAACCUGCCCUUGACUUUGUGGUAACUUCUGGGAACUGGGGCUAAUACCGGAUAUAAUCUCCUGCUGCGUGUUGUGGGUUGGUAAGUUUCGGUGGUUGUGGAUGGACUCGCGGCUUAUCAGCUUGUUGGUCGGGUAGUUGCUUACCAGGGCUGUGACGGGUAGCCGGCCUGAGAGGGUGACCGGCCACAUGGGGACUGAGAGAGGGACCAGUAGCCAACGGGAGGCAGCAGUGGGGAAUAUGGCACAAUGGGCGGAAGUCUGAUGCAGCAACGCCGGGUGCGGGAUGACGGCCUUUUGGUGGUAAACCGAUUUCGCCGGUAACGAAGCGUGAGUGACGGUAAUGGGUAAAGAAGCACCGGCUAACUACGUG
Molecule: ribosomal RNA, 468 nt
Filed under: uncultured bacterium
Lineage: Bacteria
Description: partial 16S ribosomal RNA
Rfam family: Bacterial small subunit ribosomal RNA
Source: RNAcentral